CAAUGCACCCAAGUGACCAGAAGGAGUGGAGUCUGUGUUCACUCCUCUUCAGCCUCAUUUAGCAGUUAGCAGCUGAGGCUGUAACAUAUCUCUGGACAGAUAUUGUACUCCUCUUGAGCUGUCAGUGGUCACUGGAAAGGAAUCAGUUAGAAGGGACUCACAAGAAUCAUGGAGUCCAACUUCUACAUACACAAGGAGGCCCAAUGAGGAAUGAGGAAGAAAGGGACUGUUCAAUCUCCCUAUGGACUCUACUGAAAGAAACUAACACUAAUUUACUGAUGUAGAUCUCCUAAGAAGUUAUCAUUCCGCUCUACUCAGCAUUAGUAAAGCUGCGCCUGGAGUACUUUGUACAGUUAUAUCCCACCAUCACAAAACAGACUCAGUCAUAGCAGAGAGAAUCUAGCAGAGGACAGCCAAGAUGUUGAAGGGUCUGGAGUACUUUUGCCAUGAGGAAAAGCUGAGAGCUGAGACUUUCUCUUCUCCAUGCAGAACAGAUCUUCAAAAACCAUAUGGUCAUGGUCGUGGGCAACCUGCUCUGGGUGUCAAUGCUUGAGCAGAGGUGGUGUACCAUAUGGACCCAGAGGUCCCUUCCAGUCCCAACAGUUUUUAAUUCUGUUAUUCUGUAAGUUCAAGUCUACUUCUGUUUCCUAGCAACCAUUCUUCAGGACAGAUUCAGAUGAUUAGAUUCUAAUGGGUAGAAUGUAUAAAGUCAAAAUGUGAGUGGUUUAAGAAUUUAAUUUCUAAUGUAUGAGUGUUUUCAUCUGUGUACAGAGGAAUAUUCAUAGAA
Molecule: long non-coding RNA, 787 nt
Organism: Numida meleagris (helmeted guineafowl)
Lineage: Eukaryota; Metazoa; Chordata; Aves; Galliformes; Numididae
Exons: 3
Source: RefSeq, a predicted model, not a curated record